This is an RNA transcript of Nelumbo nucifera (sacred lotus), 1737 nucleotides long. It is a transcript of the gene named seed maturation-like protein, with no coding region annotated. The record is from RefSeq and is a predicted model, not a curated record. Lineage: Eukaryota; Viridiplantae; Streptophyta; Magnoliopsida; Proteales; Nelumbonaceae.
UCGGGGGGAGGGUAAGAACAAAGAAGUAAGAAGACUAGAAGAGGGGAGGAAAGAGUUUCAGGUGCAGCGAUACCGAAGAAGACGGGCAACGAGCCAUCGACGCAGCAGAGGGCUUGGGCUAAUGGCCGCCACAGCUAGGGCCUUCCUGCUCUCACGCUUGAACGACCUUCCGCUCAAGACCCCUCAACUACCUCCCGCCUUUACUCGCCAUGUACUUCUACGGCCGCUACUUCCCGCCACCGCCGUUCGGGCAACCACUACCACCACCACCACUAUUGCUACCAAUAGACAGUCUUCUUCUCCUGCUGUUCUUAAUUGCCUCAUAUCCGGCGUCGACGGGGGUGGCGUUGCAGAUGACUUCGUCUCCACCCGAAAGUCCGGUUUCGACCGAGAAUUCUCCGUCAUCGCCAAUAUGCUCAAACGCAUCGAACCUCUAGACACCUCCAUCAUCUCCAAGGGUGUCUCUGCCGCGGCGAGGGAUUCCAUGAAGCGCACAAUCUCGACAAUGCUUGGCCUGCUUCCUUCCGAUCAAUUCUCCGUCACAAUUAGGGUUUUAAGGCGUCCCCUCGACCACCUACUGGUGUCGUCCAUCAUUACCGGGUAUACUCUGUGGAAUGCGGAGUAUCGACUUUCGUUGAUAAGGAACUUCGAGUUGUCUCCUGGGAGUACCGAAGCUUCGGUUUCUUCUCGAGGGCGUGAGGCUUCUGAGAUGGAGUUUGAGGAGAGGGAGGGUGUCAAUGGUCAUAGUGACGUUUGUGUGGGUUGGUCUUGUGAAGAUCUGGUUGAUACAAGGAUUCCUCAAGGUUUGGGGGAUUUGUCUCCCGAAGCUUUCAAUUACAUCCAAGCGCUGAAAUCCGAGGUGGCAGCUAUUGAAAAGGAAUUGAAUGCACAAGAGCAGGAAAAUGUCCACAUGGAAUGUAAUGGAGAAGAGAACAAUGAUUUGUUAGAGUAUUUACGGUCCUUGGAGCCCAAUAUGGUAAAUGAACUAUCUUGCCCGUCAUCAUUAGAGGUGGAGGAAAUUAUUCAUGAACUCAUUCAAAAUAUACUGCAAAAGUUCUUUAAAGAUGAAACUGCCUCCGGUUUCCUGGAAGGCUCAGUCAUAGUAAAAGCAGACAACUACCCAAAUGAAAAUGUUGAGCUUUGUGAUUCUAUUGGCACUACCCGGGAUUACCUUGCUAAGCUACUUUUCUGGUGCAUGUUAAUGGGUCAUCACUUGAGAGGCUUGGAGAACAGAUUGCAUUUGAGCUGUGUUACUGGAUUGUUGUAAAGUUGAAGAAAGGAAGUUGUAGAUGCAUGUACAUUCUUCCUUAUAAUCUGCUUUCUAGAAAACAAUAUGGACAGGAAAAGAACCUUAUUUUUUGGCUCCGGGGAGCAUCCAUUGGAACAUUACCAAAUGCCGCCUAGUUGAUGACCUUCUGUGUUGUAAUGUGUAUCCUAUCUAGAGGUGCUCCACCCAAGUAUCGGAGUUGAGUGAUGGUGAUGGGGGAGGUGGUUUUAUUGGAACCUAUUAACAGAGAAGGCAUUAAAUAACUUUGUACAUCAAUCUUUUAGUUAUUAAAGUAAACUACUGAGGGUUUUAAACACGAAUUGCCCAAGGAGACCAUUAGGCUCAGCAACCACAACACUUAGGUUAUGCAGCCACGUUUUGUUUAUGGUGUAGGAUGUUCGUGCUUGCAAGACAACUUUUGGCACUGAACAGGCUUGUAUGCAUUUAUUGAGUUCGGUCUCUAAAUUUUU